GAAUCAUGCAGAGAUGUGUGCGUCUUCGGACUGGUGUACAGGUGGUGCAUGGUUGUCGUCAGCUCGUGUCGUGAGAUGUUGGGUUAAGUCCCGCAACGAGCGCAACCCUCGUUCCAUGUUGCCAGCACGUCAUGGUGGGGACUCAUGGGAGACUUCCGGGGUCAACUCGGAGGAAGGUGGGGAUGACGUCAAAUCAUCAUGCCCCUUAUGUCUUGGGCUUCACGCAUGCUACAAUGGCCGGUACAGAGGGUUGCGAAACUCUGAGGUGGAGCUAAUCCCAAAAAACCGGUCUCAGUUCGGAUUGGGGUCUGCAACUCGACCCCAUGAAGUCGGAGUCGCUAGUAAUCGCAGAUCAGCAACGCUGCGGUGAAUACGUUCCCGGGCCUUGUACACACCGCCCGUCAAGUCACGAAAGUUGGUAACACCCGAAGCCGGUGGCCUAACCC
Molecule: ribosomal RNA, 446 nt
Filed under: Dermacoccus abyssi
Lineage: Bacteria; Bacillati; Actinomycetota; Actinomycetes; Micrococcales; Dermacoccaceae
Description: bacterial SSU rRNA
Rfam family: Bacterial small subunit ribosomal RNA
Source: RNAcentral